Molecule: long non-coding RNA, 8620 nt
Organism: Columba livia (rock pigeon)
Lineage: Eukaryota; Metazoa; Chordata; Aves; Columbiformes; Columbidae
Exons: 2
Source: RefSeq, a predicted model, not a curated record
UGUUGAACCACCCUCAGCACCUUCAUCCAAAUGUCAAGAGACUUCAGGGGUGAGGACUGGGAAACACAGCAUGACUAAGCCCUGGCAUUGGAAAGCCAGGGACUGUCAGACAGGCAGCGUGCACUGACCUGAGGGUUUUGAGCCUGAAGCUGAGUGAUUGCUCAGUUCCCAAGAAGGAAACUCCCUCACAGAUGCCGAGAGUCCCGAGAACCCUGAUGGCAUAGAACGUGGAAACAGCAAUGAAGCAAAGGGGACAGGGAUUAAGACUGAGCAAGCCAGAUUUCCCCAGUGUCUGAAUCUCGAGUUUAACAUCCAGGUCUGCAUUAUUAUUUUUUAAAUCACAGGCAAGCCAUCAUUGGUCCAGAUGGUGUUCCUCCUCCCAGUUCCAUUUGUACACUGGCAAUGAGAGACUCAGAGACCAGGCCUGUCCUGUUUUCUUCUCUAACCCUCAGAACAUUGUUCCUACAGUCCCUGGACUGUGUGAUGAGGCCAGGUGGUAGAUCCAAGGUCAUGGUGGGGUGAUGAGUGAAGGCAAACCAGGGUGAGCCCAGAGAAGGCAAAGGCACAGGCGUGGGGCCAGCGCAGCAUGAGAAGGCAUGCUGGAUGAUGGCUCUGAGGACAAAUACGAGAGCCAGCCCUGCACUUUCGACACUUCCUGAUUCCAGAGAGAGGCAGGGGAAAAUGCUUCAAGAAAACUUCUCUCUUGUAUGUUAUUUCCUCCUACCACUUCUCCUCCUGGGGUAAGACAUGAUCCUGUAUUGCAUGAAGCUCAUCUACACAGAUUGAAGAGGAAAGGACAGGAAGCAUAGCUUCAAACCAACCAGAGAAAAAAACUGAAGGAGUUCGGCACCAUGGAGCUGACAUCCCUGAGACAACAGGAUGCUGCUUUGGUCUGCAACUGUGGGUCAUCACUAAAUUGUUUCCUGAGCUCCUGUUGCCACCCUGUAAAGAUUGAUGUGAGUGGAACAGAAAGUACAGUUUUCCCCUCAGAGCAUCCACUUAUGUUGCUUACAAAGCAGGAUGAAUACAUCCCACGUGGUCUCAGCACUUGAGGUAGAUCAUGCGAGCCUGGCAGGUGAGAAAUAAGGAGCAUGUUGUUGCAGGUUGAGGCGCGGUGGAUGUGGAGGUCACUAGCGAACUGAGCAUGCAACUCCAUAACACACUUCUCCAGGCAAUUGUGAGAACAGAGCCACACUUCAACAGGUCAAGGCUGAGCCUUGGUCAGGGACAUUUCUUUGUCAAGAAGAAAUGCACAUUGCUUGUUUUCACACCAGCUAGAAGCAGAACACAAUGUAAGUGCUACCAUUGUCCUACCAUGUGUUGAAUCCUUUGUGUCAAGUAGCACUCAACCUCAGAAGGCAGUGCUCAGACACAGUUGAGUCCAUACUACUCAUCCCACUUCAUAUACAGAUGCUCAGCACUAUUACGUGAGGCCCCUUAGCUGAGCAGAAACUCCAGUGAUACUCUAUGCUGAAAGAUCCUCAGUUUUUUGCACUCCAAACACUAGGAGCCAAGACUUGCAGACCUUCACAGAUAUAUGAACCACAAUUCACUUCACUGUGAACUAAUUACCAUUAGAAACAUGAAAGAGCUAGAUCUAGUUAGCUAUCUAUACAGAGACAUCUGAGUACCUUCCAAAUCACUGGAAAAUCUCAAGGGUGACUCAUUUUGUCAGUAUAACCAAGGGAUGGAAUUUCAAAGUACCUGACCAUACAAAUCUGUACCCUUGAUAUCCAACAGGGCAGCAAAGGGUAGUGUGUGCUUCUGGCCUUAUUCUUGGGGGGCAAAAAGGAAAGUAAAUCCAUCAGAGUCAAUGGACAGUUGUUGAUUUAUGCCAGUGGAAGAGCCAGUGCCUUGGGAAGGCUUCACGAAUGCUUUAGUCACACAUUCCAGUUCAUCAGGAAAUUUCUCUUGCAGACACACUGCAAGAUGCUUGUGUGUGCAUGUGUGAAGCUACCAAAGUGGUGGGGGAUUUGUUUUUGUUUUUGUUUUUUUCUGCCACUGAGUGGGAAUGGCUUUAUACAGGUUGCUUGUAGACUGUAUGCCAGGUGUUCAAACAUGAGGUCUUCUCCCACAUUCUAGACGUGGCGUCUCCAUCUUUCCAUGUUCAUGACUCCUAAGCCUGUAUUUGCUGGGCCCUCAUCUUCCUGAUUUUUCCUUGCCUAAUGCAUCUUCUUGAUGUUGCAUCCUAGACCACCUACAUGCCACAUCUCUGUCAUGCAGCCAUUGUCCUGGCAAUGUCUUAGGCACCACAGAACAUGAUCUUGAGCAAAAGCUUGGUGCCACAAUUGCCAGCAUCAGAGGUCAGCAGCUCCACUGUCACUGCCAUAGAUUGAAAAACAUCAUGUAGGAGAUGUCCUUCCAUUGCAUUCUUUUUUCUCUUUUUGAAAACCCUUUUAACAGCACUAAAGGUUUUAUUGUAUUUAUUCAGGGUUUAACUCUAUUAAUUCAACCUUCCUGGAGAUAAGUUGAAAGAACUCAUAACCUUCUUUUUCUGCACCAGCAUGAAGUGUGAGAGAAGGCAAGAGCUGACCAGUGUGGGUGAAGGAGAUGCUCACAAAACUUCUGGGUUUCUUGCAGUUUCCUUCACUGAGAGGAACAGGACACCAAUAUGCAGUUGAACAAGGCAGAUGGUAUUGUAAAGAAGCAUUGUGAUUCUGGGCAUGGUGUGGUCCUCAGCCUUUCCCGAACUAAGGAAGCCUCUGGGUAACAAGAAAGAAUUUCAAGAGCUGGUCCACUGACAGUCGAAGACUUUAUUGCUCUUGGUUGUAUCCCUGGCAAGGCACAGAGACAGGAAAAGGCUCAAUUUUUCAAGCAAGAGCUGACAGUAGUGGACAGUAGGGAAAUGAGACAACUACUGUGGGAUGCUUACAUGUCUUAAGGCAUGUUGUAGCUCCCUGACACAUUAGUAUUUUUCAGCAGGAUAGUGUGAAGUACAUGCACUUCUUCAGGAUCCACAGUUUGUGUGGUUUCCUGGUACCUCUCCUGGGCUUCAGAAGGUGAGAAAGUGAGCCUAGUGAGGUCAUGGAAAAACACCAGGGAGACAUUGCCUGACAUGCUCUGCCUUUCCUCAGCCUGUGCUUUUUCUGUAAUCCUGACCUCAUCCUUUUCUCUGGUGUCCAGUCUGGAUCCAGAGAUGGUAACAGAAGCUUGCCAUCUCAGUUGCUUGCUGUUUCACCAAGCUUCAGACAAGUUGUCAGUGUGAAGGCACUGACUCCCUGCCUCCUCUGCUGCUGUGGCUGAGGCGCUGCCAACCUUUAAAGUUCCCGUCUCCCUGCAUUUCUGCUACGGAUCCAGAGAUGAGAUAAUAAAGCUUUAAACGCUCCUGUUUGCUCUGCGCCAGUUGGGCACCCCCACCCUUUGCAGCGCCUUUAAUAGGAAUUGGAGAGGUGGAUUCCUACCACAGAGUAUCCAUUUCACUCUAAUUAAGUCUCCAGUUGUAAAAAGGUAUCAGGUGUCCUCCGCACAGACACAGGCUGAUUUGUGGAACUCUGUGAAACACGAAUGCACCAGAACAAACAGUAGUUUUCAGCUGGGGAAAGGUGAGAGUGCCACCGUGGAGCAGGGAGUGCUCAGACUGCACUGUGAGCUCCUGCAGCGGGGAUGCUCUGCACUCCAGGCUGUGGCAGCUGUGGGGGGCCUUCAGUGAGAGAAGGCACCGACUUUUUGGUCAUGUUUAUCAGAGACACAAGGCAAAAUGUGAUUAUGCCCUUCCAGCCCCUCCCCAGGGCUCCCCAUGGAGUGGACUGGAGGCCUGUAGGGUCAUGCCUGUCUCAGUGGAAAGGAGACACUGGAGCCCCCAGCCAAACCAAGAGUGGAUACCAAACCCCAGGGAGGAGCAGUUCCAGCCCUGCUGCAGGUCUGAGCAGCCAGUGCUACCCCAGCCAAGGACCCUGCCAGCCCACAUGGCUGCUGUGCAGGUGGAGGUGAUAUGUCACACUUCCACAGAGUAAAUCCUUAGGACUGCUCUUAGUCCUCUGCCACCUUGAGAUGAAGUUUCAGCUUCUCACUACAUGCUGAGAAACAACCAGAACCAGGCAAAGGUGACAGGGUUCUUCCCAAAGAGGAGAAGGGAAAUGCUGUGUUUCAAUCAAAAUUAAAAUCUUCCAUUUCAAAUUGGACUUCUAGCAGCAUCUUGUCUCUAAACAAAGGCCAUUUAUUUCAGAACUUAAAACAACUGAAACCAAUUGUUUUGAUUCACAAGGAGAUUCCAGCCAGAGCACUGCUCUUGCAUGACAGGUUUUGCACUCUUUCAGUCAGUACCUCCCAGCAGAAAACCUUGCCUUUGGAAAGUUUCCAACCAUCUCUGCUUUGGAGACAGGGCUUAGGGCAAAUCACAUUGCCACAUCAACACUGAAUCAUAGUUGAGAUGGAGACAGAAACCUAGAAGAUUUCCAGGGCAGUCUCGAUAUAUCAUCAUGCAUGAGGAAUAUAUAACUUCAUGGAAGGGGGGAAAUAAUUGGGAGACAGAUAAGUAACUGAGAAAAUGCACAUCUGUUGGAACCAUGGCAGCAACUGAGGGUGACUUUAUGAUUUGACAUUAAAUACAUACAGGUAAAUUAUCAUUAUAUGCAUUGGCCUGUGGGCACAAGAACUUGCACAAACAUACAAUGAAUUUUUAAUUGUUAUCACUUGGUGGAGAAUGUGUUAAAAGCUCCAUAUCACCAUUGACUCUUUCUGUAAGGGGAAGAAAAUUAGUGGAGGCCCUCCCAAACUCUCCAAAGUGUGUUAAAUGAAGACAUUCCUUCAAAAAUGUUAAAUCUACCAUGAUAAUACAGGGAAUUACACAAGUCCUUAGCCUGGCAGAACCUAUUCUAAAUUAGCUUUUCUAACUGCUUCUAUUAGCUUUCAACAACAGUAACAGGAGUGUAAACACUGUAAACAAAGUAUUUUUUCCAUGCUGAACAGUUUAAGGGAAAAAAAAAAAAAAAAAGAAAGAAAACAAAAAGGAGAAGAAAGAAAAAGGGAAAGCAAGAGGGAAGGGAAAAGAGAAGGAGAAAGAGAAAAAGGAAGAGGAAAAGGGAAAGGGAAAGGGAAAGGGAAAGGGAAAAGGAAAGGGAAAGGAAAAGGAAAAGGAAAAGGAAAAGGAAAAGGAAAAGGAAAAGGAAAAGGAAAAGGAAAAGGAAAAGGGAAAAAAGAAAGAGAAAAGAAAAAAAAAAAAAGGAAAGAGGCAGAAUGGGAAAAGCACUGAAGCACCAAGGCUCUCCCUGUUUCUGCGGAGGCAGCUCCUCAUGCUUGAUGAGUGCCUCAUGGCUUCAGCAAAACAUCAGAUCAAGCCCUGAACUUUCUCAAACAGGCUCUUGAUUGGUCUCAGUCCAUGCUUCCUUGUUAAGCCUUCAGUACCCUGCAGGAGAAAGCACUUUCCCUGCUGCUUUGUGCUGAGUGACUUCCUACAGCUUCAUGUAAGCUGGAGUGACAUAGCCCUGAGCGUCUGCUGAAAUAUGCAUUGCUGCCUAAGGGACUGAGUUUCCUAAGUCUUGUUAAACUCAAUGUCUCAAUAUCCUCCAGGCUGCCUCCUAAGUUUUGGCCAAGCUUCAUCAGUCAAACAGGGUGAAAUAUACCAUCUUGUAGUUGAAAUAUUAAUUAGUUAUUGUUUCUGAAGUGUAUUGAAUGUGGAAAUCUUUCAUGUUAUUGUAUCUCUGUCUUUUCUUAUCUGCAAUAUGGGCUUUUUGGUCCCCCUAUCUGCUCCAACCAAUAUUUUACCUAAACCCAAAGUGCAAAGCCUGCACUGACAUCUUAGAGGAUGAGCCAAGUGACUAUCAUUCAAAGAUUUAUUUCACGAAAAGUCAGAACAUUGUGCACUUUCCUCCACAACUCUAUCAGAAGCUGCUCAUUUCUUCUUGCUGGAAGAGUGCCCAUUGUUCAUUUGACGUUAAAGAUAGGGCUUUUCUGUUUUCUUUUAAGUCAGUGAUUGGAGGGUGGAGAGCAAAGAGUGAGCUAAGCUUUAUUAUCCUGCCUUGUCAAAAGGAUACAACAUUAUGCAAAAGAAAUGAUAGGGAACACAAAAAAAUGCUUUCUUCUCUGUGCACUCUCUCUGACUGGCAUACAGAUUUAAAAUGAUAUUAUUCCUUCACUUUGCCUGGUAGAUUGUAUUUCAGAGGCCUGUGUCAAUUCAAUGGCAGGCACUUUGUGCACCUUGUUACCUCAGUCAUUUAGGAAGCUGCAAUCAGUUUGCUGUUGCCCUCAAAAUUUCCAAAUUAAUGGAGCAGGAGGGUGGUGCUCUUUGUCUGGUUUUAAAUCCAUCUUAAAUAUGCAUUUGAUCUCUUUGGUGUUGGAGAAGCCUGUGGUAUGAAAUGAACAAUAUUACCUCAGAGUAAAGACAGGCAGAGUGUUUAAUCCAUGGAGGGGUAAGUAGUGGGGCACAGAGGCACUAAGUGAUUUGCCUGAGGUCACACCAAGAGUGCAUGAAAAAGCAGGGAUUCAGGCUUACAGCUUCAUUACCUUUAAACUGGAGGCAAACACAGAGGGACUGUGUGAUCUACCAAGAGAAAAGAGGACACACAGUUGCUUUUCUCUGCGGCUUCACAGGAUAAACCAGGAAACACUGAGUGAUGCCCCUCCUGAUUUGUUUUUCUAACAAUGUGUCCCUACCUCCCAGCUGCUCAACUCACUGCAGCAUGUUGAUUUUAUAGCCAAUAAAGUGUUUCUUUGCAUGUGUUUAUCAUCCCUGAAAGUGGAAUCCCUCAUGGCCAAAUGCGGGUCUCACGGUACAUGGUGGGGAACGUGUGGCAGACUCACAGCGAAUUCCAGCGUCGAACAUGAUUAGCUUCCCUGUACCUCUGAGGAAUAGUACCAGGAAAUUGCUAACACUGUAAAUUGUCUAAAAUAUGCACUCACUAAAGCCUUUAAAGAGCAAUUACUGUAUGUUAACUGAACACCAAUCAACUGUAAAAACAGCAGUUAUGUGGCUUUAAUAGGUAUAUAAAGGAGAAAAUCUCACCACCCUGCAAUUAAUUCUAAAUCACAUAAAAAUCAUAACUUGUACACUUAUUGCUUAUUAAUACAUAAAAUAUGUACAGCAUGUUAAAACAUUUAAUUAGCACUUACAUAACAGUCUAAAAAUUAAGUAUCAAAUUAUCACUAAAAUACUGUUGAGCUCUUCAUUAACCAUGUGAAACAGCCCCCCAACAUGCAGCACUCGGGUCGUUCUAGCAGUUAGGUGCUUUCAGCUACUGUUCAGUGAUUUUAUAACAGCAGUGUCCCAUGCUCCGUCUCCGGAAUCACCUUUCUUACAAUACAAGCCAUUUGUGAGAAGGCCAGAAGACAAAGAAGGGACAGCAGGAAGAGAUCCUCCUAAGCAAGGUUCAUCAUCUCCUUAAAGCUGUGUUUAAAAACCUGGCCAGUAAAAGAUAGGCUGAUAGCAAUUCAUGAUGUGGAGAACUACAUGAGUAGCUACAAGCACAUCAGGAGAGAGAGGAGAGUAAAUCUGCUGUGAAGGUCUGCAUGUGGAAGAGCAGAUUAGUGGUAAAUGAUACCAUCAGGCAGGCUUGUGGCAGAGGCUAAGAAACAGGGGAGCCAAAACAGAGAGCUGGAGGCUUCUGGCGUUGCCAGGAAGGGAGCGAGCAAGUAGAUACUGCAACAGGAGUGUGAAAAAGUAGAAAAACAAGAGGGUGGUGGGCGCACACCUUGGACUUGACUUGCAGUCGAGAUGGAGGCUUACUAGGCAUCUCAGGGAAAAGGAAAAUAACAGCUAAUAUAUGCUAUUGGGAACUUCAUGCAAUCACGUGGUCUGUUGACAGAAGGAAACCACAACAUAGAAUUACCCUUUGUUUAGUCUAAAUCAGCUGCCAGUAUGCACAUACGCCACAUGAAAGGCAAAACCUGAACACAUUCCCAGAACGCCUUCCUGAAAAAGCCAUCUGCUGCCCAAGAUGAUGUUACCACCCUUCCCACCGCAAUGAGUUUUAAAAGGAUAAAUUUAAUUUUCCAGGCAAGAUAACAUCCUCACCUCAGCAGCACAGCUUAAGGUUGCCAACUGCAGGCAAGGCACUAGUUUCUUCACAGAGGUUCUCAUCUCUUGUGUGCAGACUCACAGAAGAGGCACGUGUGUGGAAGGGGUUUGCAUGCAGCCACUGUAGCCCAUCACUCUUGUGGGUUAGAGAAAGGCUGUGAACUUGCACGACAGCUUGAGAGAAAGGGAAGGAUUGCUAACAGUCAGCGCAAAGGAAGGCAGAGCUGCCAGCAAGUUGGGUGGAUUAUUGGAGGAAGACCUGUGAUUUCGUGCUGCUUGGCUUGCAGAUGUAAGUGGUAGAGGAAGGACGUUGAACCAGCCCCCUGACUUCUGCAGGGCACCAGUGAAAGUGCCUGGUCAAAGCGAAAGUCCAACAAGUGAGGGCCAUUUCUUGGCCCCAGACAAACAGGUGCAUGGUUGCUUCUCACCAGAGUGGGUAGAAAAACCUCCCUUUCCUCUGAAGUGUCCUUUAACAGACCCCAAGGUGGUGGGAAGAUCUGUUCCACCUGAGAAAAACCGUGUUCACUGACUAAUUUUGCCUAAAUUAUUUUACUCUAUCUGAUUGCAUUUUUACUCAUCUUGAUAGUAAAUAUGAAUUUAUUGUACUUUAUUGUAGCUUUAAAGAUAUGUCAUACGAAAAUAAAAUAUUGCAUGCCUUUGAUGCACAAA